Molecule: ribosomal RNA, 253 nt
Filed under: uncultured bacterium
Lineage: Bacteria
Description: partial 16S ribosomal RNA
Rfam family: Bacterial small subunit ribosomal RNA
Source: RNAcentral
UACGUAGGGUGCGAGCGUUAAUCGGCAUUACUGGGCGUAAAGCGCGUGUAGGCGGCUAGGCAAGUCGGAUGUGAAAGCCCUGGGCUCAACCCAGGAAGUGCAUUCGAAACUUCCGAGCUUGAGUUCUGGAGAGGAAGGCGGAAUUCUCGGUGUAGAGGUGAAAUUCGUAGAUAUCGAGAGGAACACCGGUGGCGAAGGCGGCCUUCUGGACAGUGACUGACGCUGAGACGCGAAAGCGUGGGGAGCAAACAGG